UUACGGCCACAUCAUGUUGAAACAUUGGUUUCCAUAUGAUCAGUGAAGUUAAGCAACAUUGAGCCUGCUCAGUACCUGGAUGGGUGACCACUUUGGAAUAACAGUAGUUGUAAU
Molecule: non-coding RNA, 114 nt
Organism: Acanthosepion pharaonis
Lineage: Eukaryota; Metazoa; Mollusca; Cephalopoda; Sepiida; Sepiidae
Source: the annotation of a GenBank genome assembly